RNAcentral lists this long non-coding RNA (217 nucleotides) under Lathyrus oleraceus (garden pea). Its description in RNAcentral is "Pisum sativum (pea) long non-coding RNA (PSAT_LNC033674)". The record is from RNAcentral. Lineage: Eukaryota; Viridiplantae; Streptophyta; Magnoliopsida; Fabales; Fabaceae.
CUCAAAUAGGCUCAUAUAUGCAUAAAAUGAUGAAUGAAAGAACUUCCAUUGAUUAAAUUUGAUCAGAGGUUGAGAUUGCUUCAUGGGCAAGGCACAGUCAAAGCAUAGUGAAAUUAGGGUUUCCUUGGGAAACAAUCUUCAAGCCCUUUGGGUUAUCUUGAUCAAAUUGACAAAUUGAGAUACUUGGGAGACAUAUAUGAUGAUUAGGAACUUUUUG